UUGGUCCUGAAUCAAGGCCAGCAGUUUGCCGAAGCUGUUGGUUUCAAGCAGAGCCUAAAGAAUUAUCUUUCUGGCUUGGCGCCUAUAGCUCAACCGGCUAAGGCGCCAGCC
This 111-nucleotide small nucleolar RNA is filed under the name Otolemur garnettii (small-eared galago). The record is from RNAcentral. Lineage: Eukaryota; Metazoa; Chordata; Mammalia; Primates; Galagidae.